Molecule: ribosomal RNA, 1449 nt
Filed under: Triticum aestivum (bread wheat)
Lineage: Eukaryota; Viridiplantae; Streptophyta; Magnoliopsida; Poales; Poaceae
Description: partial small subunit ribosomal RNA
Source: RNAcentral
AUGGAGAUGGAGGCGGCGGCUCCUCUUUCCAAGAAGAGAAAAUCGGAGUUGCCCGGAAGCAACCAACCGGAGGAAAUCUUAAGCCAUGAGCCGACGGCGGCGGCCAUGGAGGCGCCCGAAUCCGACAUCCGAGAACCACCGCUUGGAGCUGGAGGAGCAGAAGACGGCGUCGACCACAUCAGCGGACUGCCCGACGCCGUCCUCGGCGACUUCAUCUCCCUUCUCCCCACCACGGAGGGCGCCCGCACCCAAACCCUCGCCUCCCGGUGGCGCCACCUCUGGCGCUCCGCUCCUCUCAAUCUCGACUACUACGACCUCCCCGCCGAAGGUGACAACGUUCUAAUACGCCUCAUUUCCCAGAUCCUCUCCGCCCACGCUGGCUCCGGCCGCCGCUUGUGCGUCUCCGCGCACCACCUGUACCACCACGCUGCCACCGUGGAUGCCUGGCUCCGGUCUGCUGGCCUCAGCAACCUCCAGGAGCUCGAGUUCUGCUGCGCGGGCGAUCCACUGGUACUGCCGGCGGUGACGGCGCCCACCUUCCGUUUCUCGUCCAGCCUCCGUCUGGCCACAUUCAGCCAAUGCCGCUUCCCCGACAGCAUCGUCCAGACGCUUCAUUUCCCCCAGCUCAAGCAGCUCGCACUUGAAGAGGUCAGCAUCUCGGAAGGUUCUCUGCAGAGCGUCAUCGCUGGUUGCCCCGUCCUGGAAUCCAUGCUUCUUAACCACUGCAUUGGCUUCGGCUGCAUUCGGAUCUGCUCCCCAAACCUUAGAACCAUUGGCGUACGUGCUGGAAAUGCUGGAUACCGAGAUAAAUUGGUGAAAAUCUCUAUUGAGGAUGCCCCUUGUCUUGAAAGGUUGCUCCAACUCAACAAAACUACGGGCUUGGACAUAUCGAUAAUAUCAGCGCCCAACCUGGAGACCAUGGGCUGCCAUCGUUACGAUGACUCUUACGGCUUCAGCUUUAAGGGAUUUCCUACUCUGUUCCCAAUGGUGGUAGACACUGUCAAGACUUUAUCUAUCUCUGUUCUUCCUCUCUGUGUGGAUAUGGUUCUUGAUCUCAUGUGUUGCUUUCCCUGCUUGGAGAAGUUGUAUAUCGAGAUAUGUUUGUCGUCGGGGAAAAAGAGUUUUUGGCGUCGUAAACACCAGAGUCACAUCAGAUGCCUUGACAUCCGUCUCAAGAAAGUAGUGUUGGCAAAUUAUCGAGGCAUCAUGUCAGAAGUUAACUUUGCCAUGCUCUUUGUCCUGAAUGCUAAAAUGCUAGAGUUAUUACGAUUUGAGGUUCAAGGCCGGUGCUGUGAAAAGUUCAUUGAAAGGCAGCAUAGGUUGCUUAAGCUUGGGAACAGGGCUUCCAGAGGUGCUCAGUUUGUUUUCACAAAGGAUAGAUGUCGCCGCAAACUUGAGGACAUCAAGCAUGUGCGGGAUUUGUCUGUAGCUGAUCCCUUUGAAUGCUGA